UGAGGAAUAUUGGUCAAUGGGCGGAAGCCUGAACCAGCCAAGUCGCGUGAAGGAUGAAGGUAUUAUGUAUUGUAAACUUCUUUAGCAGUGGAGAAAUAAGGGAGUCGAGACUCCUGAUGCUAGUACACUGAGAAUAAGGAUCGGCUAACUCCGUGCCAGCAGCCGCGGUAAUACGGAGGAUCCGAGCGUUAUCCGGAUUUAUUGGGUUUAAAGGGUGCGCAGGCGGCCUUGCAAGUCAGCGGUCAAAUCGUGGAGCUCAACUCCAUUCCGCCGUUGAUACUGCCGGGCUUGAUUGCGGUUGAGGUUUGCGGAAUUCGUCGUGUAGCGGUGAAAUGCAUAGAUAUGACGAAGAACCCCGAUUGCGUAGGCAGCAGACCAAGCCGUAAAUGACGCUCAUGCACGAAAGUGCGGGGAUCGAACAGG
RNAcentral lists this ribosomal RNA (423 nucleotides) under uncultured Bacteroidales bacterium. RNAcentral's name for it is "bacterial SSU rRNA". It matches the Rfam family "Bacterial small subunit ribosomal RNA", at positions 355 to 776 of the family's 1533-position model. The record is from RNAcentral. Lineage: Bacteria; Pseudomonadati; Bacteroidota; Bacteroidia; Bacteroidales.